Long non-coding RNA from Taeniopygia guttata (zebra finch), 1529 nucleotides. RefSeq lists it as uncharacterized. The record is from RefSeq and is a predicted model, not a curated record. Lineage: Eukaryota; Metazoa; Chordata; Aves; Passeriformes; Estrildidae.
UUUUGGCACAGCUACGGUGUGAUUUAAGAUAACUAACUAACUAAAUAAAGAGGCUCAAAUGCUGAAAGCCCCACCGGUGUGGCUGUCAGAGGGACCCCUCCCGACGGCACCCCCGCUCCUCUCCGUUACCGUGACGCUCUCCCAUUUUCCCCUGAACACUCCGCGUUCCAGGAGACUGGCACAAGCAGCCUCCUGGCCGCCGGCUCAGGUACCUCACAUCCUGGAUCCAUAAGGAUGCCGGCAAGGCUGGCUUCCCCUUCCCUGGAUCGCUGCGAGCGGGAUGUGCUGUUGGAGGUCUAUGGAAGAUGCCGAAGGCUGCUUUGCGCUGGAGAGCGGUUGAGUUACAGCCCUGGCUCAGAGUCGCGUGUUUUCCUGAUGUUUUACCCCAAGGAGCAGGGUUUGGCUGUGGAAGAGCAGCACUGAGAACGCUUCACAAAGAUGCUCCCAUCCUGCUGCUGUGUGGUGAAGUUUCAAGAGACACCUGUGAAGUUUGUGAGCCACAGGUAGAUUCCUGACAGGACAAAGCUCAGCAGCUUCAGAAGCUGGAAGCUGUUAUGCUGUACCUGGAUCUCGAAGAUAAAUGGGUCGCCUGAGGUUAUUUUGGAAGUGGAUUCUUCUCUCCCCUUCUUGUCCCAUUUGCCUUAUUUCAGACUCAGCUUGGGGAACCUUCCCACUGAUAAAACUGAUAAUUAUUAUUAAUACUUUCUGCUUUUUUUUUUCCCUGGGAAUUCAGCUUGAAUAUAUUUCCAUCAUCUUUAAUUGCUUAAUAAAGGGAAUCAGCCCUUGGCUUGGACAAAGAACAGAUGGAUAAAGGACCAGAUGCUUCACUUUCAAGUGAGAUGACUCCAAAGCACAAGUCCAUCAUGUCAUAGCUGCUAAUCCAAUGUUACACUGUGCAGCUCAUCCUCAGAACUGGGAACUGGGGCCCAGAUGAGCAGGGAAGAGCAGAUGAAAGCUGCAAAAAAAAAUCCUGGGGAAGGCUUUGUCCAGGUGGGACUGUGCAGCUCAUGGUGGUGUGGCUCUCUCCACAUGUGUGAGUGAAGGCACUGCCAAAAUGCAGCUACAGAGGGAUCUCCAGGGGCUGGCUGGUGGAGCUGCCUGGAGUCCCAGCCAGAGGGUGGACACCAAGGUCCUGGAGCUCCUCUGGAGCCACCAGCCAGGCCUGGGACACCUGAAUUGCCAGGCACAUGGUUUGAGAACACUGGGGGCAGGAAAAGUACAAGUAUUAUAAUUUAGCAAUGUAAUGUGCUGCUUUUUAACCUGAAAGGAUUGUGGAUGUGAGGACAUAAUGAGAAACAGAGCGAGGAUUUCCAGGGCAAGGGUAUUUCAAAGGGCUAAUGGCUAUUCCUGGGAUGCUCCAGUAAUUGUGAAGUUUUGCAGGAUGUUGAUUUAAGUGAAGAAGGUAACAGGACCUUUAUUAUUCGCUGGGCAGAAACCUCAGAUGUCAGAGAUUGUGGAGGAAGACCCUGGUGAGUGGUUGUUAAUAUAACUUUGAUUUAUUUCAAAUGUAGAAUAAACGAGUCAAAGUA